UGGUCCCAGCCUUGAAAUCAACUAUUACUUAAUAUACACAUGCAAGUAUCCGCACCCCUGUGAGAACGCCCUUAAAUCCCCAAUAGGGAUAAGGAGCUGGUAUCAGGCGCUACUAAUGCCCAAGACACCUAGCUAUGCCACACCCUCAAGGGAAUUCAGCAGUGAUAAACAUUGACAAUAAGCGACAGCUUGAUUCAGUUAAAGUAAAAAGAGCCGGCUAAUCUGGUGCCAGCCGCCGCGGUUACACCACGUGGCUCAAACUGAUUUCUAUCGGCGUAAAGCGUGAUUAAAGUUCUACCCCUAUUAGAGUUAAAUUAAAACUAAGCUGUGACACGCUUGUUAUUAAGAAAACCAAAAUCGAAAGAUACUCCAACUUAUUCAGCUUGAAUUCACGACAGCUAAGUAACAAACUGGGAUUAGAUACCCCACUAUGCCUAGCCGUAAACUUUAACUUACAUUUAUAUCGCCCGGGAACUACGAGCAAAGCUUAAAACCCAAAGGACUUGACGGUACCCCAUAUCCACCUAGAGGAGCCUGUCCUAUAAUCGAUAAUCCCCGCUUAACCUCACCCCCUCUAGCCCAUCAGCCUGUAUACCUCCGUCGUCAGCUUACCACGUGAGCGCAUCUUAGUGAGCUUAAUGUCCACACGCCAAAACGUCAGGUCAAGGUGCAGCAUAUGGGGGGGAAAGAGAUGGGCUACACUCUCUAGUAUAGAACAUACGAAUGACUACUUAUGAAAACUAGUCUAAAGGCGGAUUUAGAAGUAAAAAGAAACUAUAGUGUUCUUUUUAACCCGGCACUGGGGUGUGUACACACCGCCCGUCACCCUCUUCAAAGCCUAUUUCAAGUUCUUAACCAAUUUACUGCUAAACAGAAGAGGCAAGUCGUAACAUGGUAAGUAUACCGGAAGGUGUGCUUGGAAA
This 923-nucleotide non-coding RNA is filed under the name Pseudopaludicola murundu. RNAcentral's name for it is "partial 12S ribosomal RNA". It matches the Rfam family "Bacterial small subunit ribosomal RNA". Lineage: Eukaryota; Metazoa; Chordata; Amphibia; Anura; Leptodactylidae. The record is from RNAcentral.